RNAcentral lists this ribosomal RNA (429 nucleotides) under Actinomycetes bacterium. RNAcentral describes it as "Actinobacteria bacterium partial 16S ribosomal RNA". It matches the Rfam family "Bacterial small subunit ribosomal RNA", at positions 355 to 776 of the family's 1533-position model. Lineage: Bacteria; Bacillati; Actinomycetota; Actinomycetes. The record is from RNAcentral.
UAGGGAAUCUUCCGCAAUGGGCGAAAGCCUGACGGAGCAACGCCGCGUGAGUGAUAAAGGUCUUCGGAUCGUAAAACUCUGUUAUUAGGGAAGAACAAAUGUGUAAGUAACUAUGCACGUCUUGACGGUACCUAAUCAGAAAGCCACGGCUAACUACGUGCCAGCAGCCGCGGUAAUACGUAGGUGGCAAGCGUUAUCCGGAAUUAUUGGGCGUAAAGCGCGCGUAGGCGGUUUUUUAAGUCUGAUGUGAAAGCCCACGGCUCAACCGUGGAGGGUCAUUGGAAACUGGAAAACUUGAGUGCAGAAGAGGAAAGUGGAAUUCCAUGUGUAGCGGUGAAAUGCGCAGAGAUAUGGAGGAACACCAGUGGCGAAGGCGACUUUCUGGUCUGUAACUGACGCUGAUGUGCGAAAGCGUGGGGAUCAAACAGG